This 497-nucleotide ribosomal RNA is filed under the name uncultured bacterium. RNAcentral's name for it is "partial 16S ribosomal RNA". It matches the Rfam family "Bacterial small subunit ribosomal RNA", at positions 28 to 507 of the family's 1533-position model. The record is from RNAcentral.
GAUGAACGCUGGCGGCGUGCCUAAUACAUGCAAGUCGAGCGAACGGACGAGAAGCUUGCUUCUCUGAUGUUAGCGGCGGACGGGUGAGUAACACGUGGAUAACCUACCUAUAAGACUGGGAUAACUUCGGGAAACCGGAGCUAAUACCGGAUAAUAUUUUGAACCGCAUGGUUCAAAAGUGAAAGACGGUCUUGCUGUCCCUUAUAGAUGGAUCCGCGCUGCAUUAGCUAGUUGGUAAGGUAACGACUUACCAAGGCAACGAUGCGUAGCCGACCUGAGAGGGUGAUCGGCCACACUGGAACUGAGACACGGUCCAGACUCCUACGGGAGGCAGCAGUAGGGAAUCUUCCGCAAUGGGCGAAAGCCUGACGGAGCAACGCCGCGUGAGUGAUGAAGGUCUUCGGAUCGUAAAACUCUGUUAUUAGGGAAGAACAUAUGUGUAAGUAACUGUGCACAUCUUGACGGUACCUAAUCAGAAAGCCACGGCUAACUACGUG